GAUGAACGCUGGCGGCGUGCCUAACACAUGCAAGUCGAGCGAGAAAUAAAGGAAUGAAGCUUCGGUAGAUUUUCUUUAUGGAAAGCGGCGGACGGGUGAGUAACGCGUAGGCAACCUGCCCUGUACAGGGGGAUAGCCACCCGAAAAGGUGAUUAAUACCCCAUAACGCAAGAGAUACACAUGUAUCACUUGUCAAAGAUUUAUCGGUAUAGGAUGGGCCUGCGUCUGAUUAGCUAGUUGGUAGGGUAACGGCUUACCAAGGCAACGAUCAGUAGCCGACCUGGGAGGGUGAUCGGCCACAUUGGAACUGAGACACGGUCCAAACUCCUACGGGAGGCAGCAGUGGGGAAUAUUGCACAAUGGGCGCAAGCCUGAUGCAGCAACGCCGCGUGAAGGAUGAAGGCCUUCGGGUUGUAAACUUCUGUCCUAGGGGAAGAAACAAAUGACAUUACCCUG
This 456-nucleotide ribosomal RNA is filed under the name [Eubacterium] sulci. RNAcentral describes it as "bacterial SSU rRNA". It matches the Rfam family "Bacterial small subunit ribosomal RNA", at positions 28 to 482 of the family's 1533-position model. The record is from RNAcentral. Lineage: Bacteria; Bacillati; Bacillota; Clostridia; Peptostreptococcales; Anaerovoracaceae.